UACAGAGGGGGCAAGCGUUAUUCGGAAUUAUUGGGCGUAAAGGGCGCGUAGGCGGCCUGGCAAGUGGAAGGCGAAAUCCCUCGGCUUAACCGAGGAACUGCCCUCCAAACUGCUUGGCUUGAGUCCGGGAGAGGUGAGUGGAAUUCCCAGUGUAGCGGUGAAAUGCGUAGAUAUUGGGAGGAACACCAGUGGCGAAGGCGGCUCACUGGACCGGAACUGACGCUGAGGCGCGAAAGCGUGGGGAGCAAACGGG
This 253-nucleotide ribosomal RNA is filed under the name uncultured bacterium. Its description in RNAcentral is "partial 16S ribosomal RNA". It matches the Rfam family "Bacterial small subunit ribosomal RNA", at positions 524 to 776 of the family's 1533-position model. The record is from RNAcentral.